Molecule: non-coding RNA, 94 nt
Organism: Mycena vulgaris
Lineage: Eukaryota; Fungi; Basidiomycota; Agaricomycetes; Agaricales; Mycenaceae
Source: the annotation of a GenBank genome assembly
GGCUUCGUAGAUCAGCGAGAUUGCUCUCAUCCUACUCCGAUGGAAAAGGCACGCUGUUAGGAGAGAAACGCGGGUUCGACUUCCGCCGAAGCCG